GGUGGGAGCUGGCUUGCCUGCGAUGGCGGCGGGCCAGUUUGCAUCACGGUACCUGACAGACCGCUAUCGCAGGCAAGCCAGCUCCCACA
RNAcentral lists this unclassified non-coding RNA (89 nucleotides) under Pseudomonas sp. bs2935. Lineage: Bacteria; Pseudomonadati; Pseudomonadota; Gammaproteobacteria; Pseudomonadales; Pseudomonadaceae. The record is from RNAcentral.